Non-coding RNA from Gossypium hirsutum (cotton), 106 nucleotides. The record is from Rfam. NCBI's taxonomy places the organism in Eukaryota, Viridiplantae, Streptophyta, Magnoliopsida, Malvales, Malvaceae.
AACCCAUGGUGAGGGAACUUUUCAAUAAAUCCUUAUACCUCUCCCAUGCAUCAUAUAGAGUCUCUAAAUCCAUUUGCGUGAAGGAAGAGAUAUCAUUCCUCAGCUU